AGGAUAAACGCUGGCGGCGUGCCUAACACAUGCAAGUCGAACGCGCUUUCGGGCUUCGGUGCGAGAGCGAGUGGCGGACGGGUGAGUAACACAUGGGUACCUACCUUGGAGUGAGGGAUACCGGCGAGAAAUCGCCGACAAUACCGCAUAGGCUUCUUCACAAGGGAAGCAAAGUGACGCGAGUCACGCUUUGAGAUGGGCUUGUGGCCGAUUAGCUAGUUGGGGGGGUAACGGCUUCCCAAGGCGACGAUCGGUAGCUGGUCUGAGAGGACGAUCAGCCACACUGGGAUUGAGAACGGCCCAGACUCCUACGGGGGGCAGCAGUGAGGAAUUUUCCGCAAUGGAGGCAACUCUGACGGAGCAACGCCGCGUGCAGGAGGAAGGUUUUCGGAUCGUAAACUGCUUUUCUCGGGGACGAGCAAGGACGGUACCCGAGGAAGAAGCCCGGCUAACUACGCGCCAGCAGCCGC
Molecule: ribosomal RNA, 470 nt
Filed under: uncultured bacterium
Lineage: Bacteria
Description: SSU rRNA
Rfam family: Bacterial small subunit ribosomal RNA
Source: RNAcentral